RNAcentral lists this signal recognition particle RNA (312 nucleotides) under Salinarchaeum sp. Harcht-Bsk1. RNAcentral's name for it is "Archaeal signal recognition particle RNA". It matches the Rfam family "Archaeal signal recognition particle RNA". The record is from Rfam by way of RNAcentral. Lineage: Archaea; Methanobacteriati; Methanobacteriota; Halobacteria; Halobacteriales; Natronoarchaeaceae.
GGUCGGACUAGGCCGGGCAGCUAGGCCCUGCUCCUCGCCCGCGAAAUGGUCUUGAGCGGGGGCCGAACGCCCGGGGCGUCCGGUCAAACCCGACCGGGCCCCGGAAGCCGACGUCGAAGCCUCGUCCGUCGGGGACGACGGUCCACGGCGAUCGCCUGCAGGGGCGACCCGUCGUGGUUAACCGGUGGCAGCCGUCAGGCGCGGAAGCGAGCAGCGGACCACCGGACAGUCGUCGCUCGCCGGGUCGCGGGGUGGAGGAGGCGACCGGGCUGACCCGGACGGGAACGAUCGGGCAACUCGGGCCGUCCACCA